Molecule: long non-coding RNA, 4787 nt
Organism: Psammomys obesus (fat sand rat)
Lineage: Eukaryota; Metazoa; Chordata; Mammalia; Rodentia; Muridae
Exons: 6
Source: RefSeq, a predicted model, not a curated record
GCAUGGUUCCUCUGACAACAAUGAAAAGGAAAGAUGCUUGACUUUCUCCACGGAAACAUCAAGAAAACUUCUGCCACAGACGCACAGAGACAGCAGUACGGGUAUUUGCCGGCAUGCGUACAUGUACCACGUGGAUGCCCAUCGCCUAUGAAUUCCCUGGAACUGGAAUUACAGACGGUUGUAAGCUGCCAUUGUGAAUACUGAAAGUUGAACACCUACCGUUCCUAACGGUACCGUUCCCCCUUGGGCUGGCUCCCUUGUUUCCAGGUCUGUGGCGAAGCAGGACCUCAUGGUGUAAGAGUUUGAUGGAACAGAGCUGCUUCCCUCAUGGCAGCUGCGGGAUGCGGGGAGGAGAGGAGAGAGAACAUGAUAUACCCCGAAGGUCUUGUUCCCAGCAUUCUCCUUCCUGCGUUCAACUCCACUCUAUCUCCUCCUGAGUGUCCAUUGCCUCCUAACCACUCAUCAUAUCAUGAGCUAGUCAGUGGAUUCACCCACUGACACCGCCCUGAUGAUUCAGCCAUCUCCCAGGAGACUUACCUGUGAUCGUCGCUGCAGUGGGGGCCCAGGCUUUCAACACACAAGACCAUAGGGGUCUUUUCAGGUGCAAACCAGAACAAAUGACUGAAAUGUUCAGAUAUCAAGGGCUGGAGGUUUCUGCCUCUGCCUCCUGAGUGCUGUGAUUAUGGCUCUCAGGAAAGGUUUUCAAUGUAUAUCCAGGCUAGCCUUGAAGCGCCAGCUCCAUUGAGCUUCCUGUCCCAGGCUUAUGGUAGUAGCUCAGACUACUAACUAGUACCACAGAGAGCACAUGGAGGUCAGAGGUCAAUCUUCAGGGGUCAGCGCUCACCUUCCGUCUUGUUUGAGGCAGGGUCUCUCUUGUUACUGCUGCUUGGGCAGCUACACCAGGCUGACUGGCUGAUGAGCUGAUUUUGCUGUCUCUGUUUCUCAUGAAGGAGUGCUGAGGUUAUUGUCAGCCAGCUUGGUACAGGGGUUUCCUAGAUUUGAACUCGGGUUGUCAGGCUUAUGAUUAUGCUGCAAGAACUUUACCCACUAAGCCAUCUCCCAAGCCCAGCUCUGUGGUUGUUUGUUUAAUAGGCUUUUUAAAUGAUUUAAUAGUUUGUUUAAGCAGAUGGGGUGAGUGAAACUAAGAACUAGUAGAAAGAUUACAAUUGUGGCUUUCAGGUCUGUCGUGCUUUGUCUUCUAAUGUGUAGUUCAGAGAUAUAAAUAAUAAGUGUGUGUUCUAGGGCUGAGUGUGCGGUUCAGCUGUAAGAGCUUUGUCCAGGGUCCAAACAUGCCUCUGAGUUUGGGGACAGCUGUGCUCGGUCUCUCCUUUGCCUGGAAACUGAACUUCAUGGGUGAAUGUGGGGCUCACUUGGGACCACUCUUCUGGUCCCCAAGUCUCGUACUCAGGCCCCCCUCUCAGGGAAAUGACAGAUUUCAUCCCUGAUAAGGGCCCUCCAGGCUUCGGCACCCUCACGCCCUAGGUGUGGCUGAUGGCAUGGUAAUUCUCCGCCAGCACCUCUCCAGGUGGCUUCACAACUACCCGUCAGCUGACCACUUCCUCCAGCCAGGGCCCCCAAGAGCCUUUCAUCCCCCCACAGCCUUUCAUCUGAGCCUUUUAAAGUAAGUGAAAAGUUGCAGCGACCAAAGCCCGCAGGGAAGUAGGGAAGGAAACAGGUACGCUUCCUUAAGCGGCUAAGAGUGGCAGUCUGUGCCCUGCUCCAGGCUGCAGAGUUGCCAAUGCGUGGCCGGGUGUUUGGUUCCUCUGAGAACAGACUAGUUGAGAGACAUCCUCGUGGGGCUGAGGGAAGCCCUCUGUGUCUUCCAGGAAAGUGGCGAACCAGACAUAGUCUCGUUCUUGGAUGGGCUCUGAUGUACCCUCUCUACUGUAGCAGGCUGAGUGGGCGCUUUCCUCUCUCCCUCUGCAGCCUCAUGAGCUUGAGGCCCCAGAUCCUCCUACAGCCACUGCCUCAACCUCCGAGGCCAGACCUGUCCUGAGAUCUCCUGAGCCUGGAGUGCCUCCCACCAGGAGCUCACAGACCAGAUGGAAGCCCAAACCAGCCCACCUGGAGGGGGGGGGCACCUACUUUGCAAAGCAGUGGGCUUUGUACAUGAGACGUGUCAGACUUGGAUGGCCUGGGUGGGCACUUUGCCAGGGGCCUAGCCAGGUGGUGGUCAGGGUAGGUGAUGGAGCUGUAGGCUAAAGUAAAUAUGAACAAGUCAUCCAGGAUCCCUCAGCCUUCAGCCUCAGUACUAGGACCUGAUCUCACAUACAGAGGACCAAAACGAACACCAUAAGCUGGGAGUUGUAACACACAAGCAGUGGAUCGCACCAGGGUGAGGCCCAGGGAAGCCAGACAGCUUAAACAGCCCUAAAGGCAAGCCUCUCUGCUCCACCAGGGCACACUCUGCAAGCCAGAGUUUGCAGAGGUUAAGGGGCUAGCUUGAGGGCUGACGACUGAUAAGGGCUUGCAAAAUAACGAAUCCUAAACUCUGUGAUGUUCAUGUUGUGGAGUCCUGAUCUAGAGACAUAGGAAUGGCUGGCGUUGGAAGGCUGAGUACCCUGCAGAAGACAAUGACCUGCUCUUGGGAAAAGGGUUCACACACCCUCACUUCUGUGUGGGACCAAGCCCCAAGGUCAAGAACUCAGUUGAGUGACUGUGUAAAUGGAGGGGGAGUCCCUGGGAUGGAGCACUGAGGAAGGAUAUCCUCACAGGGAUGGAGCUGUAGGCUGGUAGCAGGGGGGAAACCUUUACAGUCUUGGGUGGAUGUUCCUAGUAGGCUCAUCAGCCCCUCCUCCUAGGCCCUGGCUGCCCCUGCCCCUCAGCCCUCGGACUUCAGCCCUCACAGGGCCCCAGGAAACAAACACACACCUGUCCCCAAGCCAUGUGUUCUUUUAAACUUACUUGUUCUCCUAGAUGCCCCAGCUGUAUCUUUGGAUCAAGAUAGGUGACCCCAAAGGCCGCAGUCCACACACUCUUGCUUAGGGACCUGCUGGAGCAAGAAUUCCAGAGCAGGACUGGCCUCAGCGUGCAGGGUCUUCCCCAGUUCCCUGGAGAUCCAGCUUCAUUCCACAUCUCAGUCCUUUCAAAUCUAGAAAAUGCCAAAGAUCACAGGAGUGUAAGGCACAACUGCCUUCUCCAAUGCUUCAAAUGGACAUAAGUAAAGGUUUGACGAGCGGAGUUUGAUCCCUGCGGUCCAGAUGAUGGAAGGAAAGAGAGAACUGAUUCUGGCAAGUUGUCCUCUGAGCUUGAUUUGCACGCGUGCGCGCGCGUGCGCGCACACACACACACACACUAACUGAACAGUUCUAAGCUGGUCCUCUGCUGGGCCUUCCUGAACUAAUUCUCACGGAGGAAAUGUAACGAUACGAAACAUUGCUAGAGGCAGCCUGGAAGUCAGCCUAAGAGUCCCCAGUCACUUGCACUGAACAGCUGAGGUGAGGAAGAUGGUUUCCUGGAAGGACACGUGUCCCCGAAGCCGUGAAAGAAGAGCCUGCUGCCCUUUCUGUCGACAGGGUCUUGCUGCAGUGACAGGCACACAGCACCAUACCAGGCUUCAGAUGGUCCUUUCAGAUCUCCAUCUCCAGCGUUUUCUUUCUCUGCUGUUCUCAGCCUCUUUGGUGAGGUGCAUCAGCCGGUUCCUGAAAGACUCCCCCAGAGGACGCCUUCCUACUAAGAAGCGUUGGCACAAAUAACUGCAAGAAGAAAAGGUGCCGUUCUUUUUGAAGAUUCCCUAUGCCAGGAUCAAAAGUGAUGCUGUGUUAGUCGAAUGAAUUUAUACCUCCCGCCUGCAGAAGACAGAAAAGGCCUCUAAUGGCUUGCCACGUUAUGCCUUUUGGAAGGACACUGUCUCUGUCUAUUAUAACCACUGACUGUGAAAUAAACUUCAGAAACUGAAGGAUCUAACCCAGAACAUCACACAACGGUUAUUCAUUGAAAAGAUGAAGUGCGCUUGGUGAACGGUGCCUGUAUUCCCAGCACAAGAAAAGUGAACCAGGAGGAUCAAAAAUUCCAGGCCUGAAGCUAGGAGUGGUGACAUAUGCCUUUAAUGCUAGCACUCAGAGAGGCAGAGAGCAAGGCUGGCCUCCCGACCCCUUCUGCUGCAGCUGAAGGACAGCAGCUCUUAGGUGGCAGAGACUAUGCCUCUCUCUCCUUCCAAGAUGAGUGGGGUCUGGCAUUCCCAUCGAGUCAUAUCUGGAGGUCAGCUUGGCACACCAUCUGUCUAGGUCUUCGGGCUUGAUCUGGAUUGUAGUGUAUUUCUUGGAGAGGAGAAUGGGAACACACACCAACUAUAUAAGAACAUGUAUGAGCACAGCCUAGCACAGCCAUAAAUGUUUUCAUUUUCAAAUAAUUCAUUUAAAAUAAUGUAUUAAAAAUGAGUGAUGGGCUGGGUAUGUGAUUCAGUGAUAAAGGUCUUGCUGUCAUGGGCAAGGCCCUGGGUUUGAUCCUCAACAUCACAGAAAAAAGAAAAGAAUAAAAGUAGUCAUGACAUUUCAUGUUUAGGAGGCUGAGGCAGGUAGAUCUAAGUUCAAGGCCAGCCUGGACUACAUAGUGAGACCCAGUCUCUAAAUUAAUGAGCAAAUGCUUUGGGUAUGUAGCCUCGUUGUUACGGUGCUUGCCUGGCACAUAUGAGGCCCUGUGUUUGAUCUCCAACACUGCAUAAAGUCAGGGAUAACAAGACCCUGAUAGACAUAUGGGGGUGGGGGAGAAAAGCCUAGAAAAAUAAAAAAUUGAUUUUCUAUUCUGUACACUGUGAACCUUAAAAAAAAAAAAAAAAGAAAUAGAAG